This 440-nucleotide ribosomal RNA is filed under the name uncultured bacterium. RNAcentral describes it as "partial 16S ribosomal RNA". It matches the Rfam family "Bacterial small subunit ribosomal RNA", at positions 338 to 795 of the family's 1533-position model. The record is from RNAcentral.
CCUACGGGGGGCAGCAGUAGGGAAUAUUGGUCAAUGGGGGAAACUCUGAAGCAGCAACGCCGCGUGGAGGAUGAAGGUUUUCGGAUCGUAAACUCCUUUCGUUAGAGAAGAUAAUGACGGUAUCUAACGAAUAAGCACCUGCUAACUCCGUCCCAGCAGCCGCGGUAAUACGGAGGGUGAAAGCGUUACUCAGAAUCACUGGGGGUAACGAGCGCGGAGGCGGGAUAGCAAGUCAGGUGUGAAAUCCUAUGGCUGAACCAUAGAACUGCAUUUGAAACUGGUAUUCUAGAGUAUGGGAGAGGUUGGUGGAAUUCUAGGUGUAGGAGUAAAAUCCGUAGAGAUCAAGAGGAAUACUCAUUGCGAAGGCGACCAGCUAGAACAUAACUGACGCUGAUGCGCGAAAGCGUGGGUAGCAAACAGGAUUAGAUACCCUGGUAGUC